RNAcentral lists this ribosomal RNA (253 nucleotides) under uncultured bacterium. RNAcentral describes it as "partial 16S ribosomal RNA". It matches the Rfam family "Bacterial small subunit ribosomal RNA", at positions 524 to 776 of the family's 1533-position model. The record is from RNAcentral.
UACGUAGGGUCCGAGCGUUGUCCGGAAUUAUUGGGCGUAAAGAGCUCGUAGGCGGUUUGUCGCGUCUGCUGUGAAAUCCCGGGGCUCAACCUCGGGCCUGCAGUGGGUACGGGCAGACUGGAGUGCGGUAGGGGAGAAUGGAAUUCCUGGUGUAGCGGUGGAAUGCGCAGAUAUCAGGAGGAACACCAAUAGCGAAGGCAGCUCGCUGGGACGUUACUGACACUGAGGCGCGAAAGCGUGGGGAGCGAACAGG